AACGAACGCUGGCGGCAUGCCUAACACAUGCAAGUCGAACGAGAUCCUUCGGGGUCUAGUGGCGCACGGGUGCGUAACGCGUGGGAAUCUGCCCUUAGGUUCGGAAUAACAGUUAGAAAUGACUGCUAAUACCGGAUGAUGACGUUAAGUCCAAAGAUUUAUCGCCUGAGGAUGAGCCCGCGUAGGAUUAGCUAGUUGGUGUGGUAAAGGCGCACCAAGGCGACGAUCCUUAGCUGGUCUGAGAGGAUGAUCAGCCACACUGGGACUGAGACACGGCCCAGACUCCUACGGGAGGCAGCAGUGGGGAAUAUUGGACAAUGGGCGCAAGCCUGAUCCAGCAAUGCCGCGUGAGUGAUGAAGGCCUUAGGGUUGUAAAGCUCUUUUACCCAGGAUGAUAAUGACAGUACCGGGAGAAUAAGCCCCGGCUAACUCCGUG
This 436-nucleotide ribosomal RNA is filed under the name uncultured bacterium. RNAcentral's name for it is "partial 16S ribosomal RNA". It matches the Rfam family "Bacterial small subunit ribosomal RNA", at positions 29 to 507 of the family's 1533-position model. The record is from RNAcentral.